UAGGGAAUCUUCCGCAAUGGACGCAAGUCUGACGAAGCAACGCCGCGUGAGUGAAGAAGGAUUUCGGUUCGUAAAACUCUGUUGUUAGAGAAGAACAGCGCAUAGAGUAACUGUUAUGCGUGUGACGGUAUCUAACCAGAAAGCCACGGCUAACUACGUGCCAGCAGCCGCGGUAAUACGUAGGUGGCAAGCGUUGUCCGGAUGUAUUGGGCGUAAAGCGAGCGCAGGCGGUCAAUUAAGUCUGAUGUGAAAGCCCCCGGCUCAACCGGGGAGGGUCAUUGGAAACUGGUUGACUUGAGUGCAGAAGAGGAGAGUGGAAUUCCAGGUGUAGCGGUGAAAUGCGUAGUUAUAUGGAGGAACACCAGUGGCGAAGGCGACUCUCUGGUCUGUAACUGACGCUGAGGCUCGAAAGCGUGGGUAGCAAACAGG
Molecule: ribosomal RNA, 429 nt
Filed under: Bacteroidota bacterium
Lineage: Bacteria; Pseudomonadati; Bacteroidota
Description: Bacteroidetes bacterium partial 16S ribosomal RNA
Rfam family: Bacterial small subunit ribosomal RNA
Source: RNAcentral